CUUCUUCUACAGGAUGGUUCAGAAGAACAUCACAAUGUCCCACAGGAUGAUAAGCUUGUGAAUCCGGGUGAAGAUCUGAACAAUAUUAAUUCUACAGAGACAUAUUUGAGGGGUGAUAAGCAGAGUAUAGAGUACAUUCCUACAGAUAACCGCCCAGAUGACUGUACCAGGAACUCAGAGAAACAUCUGAUAUCUUUAGAUUUUGAAGUAGAUGAUUGUGGUAUCACACAAGUUACAUUUGAAGAGCAUGCCAAUAUCCAAGAUAUACCUUCAUCCAAUCACGGCAACAAUGCAUCAUUUGAUCCUUUUAAACAGGUCCGAUCUUCUGAUUCAUCACAGACUGAAACAAAGAAUAAAAGUCACAAAAAAGGUGUUAAAC
Bufo bufo (common toad) is the source of this 379-nucleotide long non-coding RNA. RefSeq lists it as uncharacterized. The transcript is spliced from 3 exons. Lineage: Eukaryota; Metazoa; Chordata; Amphibia; Anura; Bufonidae. The record is from RefSeq and is a predicted model, not a curated record.